This 119-nucleotide microRNA precursor is filed under the name Mus pahari (shrew mouse). RNAcentral describes it as "microRNA 698 (MGP_PahariEiJ_G0007558.1)". Lineage: Eukaryota; Metazoa; Chordata; Mammalia; Rodentia; Muridae. The record is from RNAcentral.
UCAUCUCUGCCCUCACUGUAAGGGAGGGUGGUGGUGAUGGAGGACAAUGUAGGUGGGACAGGGAUGUUCAGUUGCUAAAGACAUUCUCAUUUCCCUCCCUCAGUCUCCCCAGAUGGUGA